GCGCAACUGACGCUCAUGCUCGAAAGUGCGGGUAUCGAACAGGAUUAGAUACCCUGGUAGUCCGCACGGUAAACGAUGGAUGCCCGCUAUUUGUCCAUUAGGAUAAGUGGCCAAGUGAAAACGUUAAGCAUCCCACCUGGGGAGUACGCCGGCAACGGUGAAACUCAAAGGAAUUGACGGGGGCCCGCACAAGCGGAGGAACAUGUGGUUUAAUUCGAUGAUACGCGAGGAACCUUACCCGGGCUUGAAUUGUGAGAGAAGGAUCCAGAGAUGGUGACGCCCUUCGGGGCUCUCAUGAAGGUGCUGCAUGGUUGUCGUCAGCUCGUGCCGUGAGGUGUCGGCUUAAGUGCCAUAACGAGCGCAACCCCUCUCUUCAGUUGCCAUCAGGUUAAGCUGGGCACUCUGGAGACACUGCCACCGUAAGGUGUGAGGAAGGUGGGGAUGACGUCAAAUCAGCACGGCCCUUACGUCCGGGGCUACACACGUGUUACAAUGGGUGGUACAGAGAGUUGGGUGCCCGCAAGGUCACUCUAAUCAAUAAAUCCAUCCUCAGUUCGGACUGGGGUCUGCAACCCGACCCCACGAAGCUGGAUUCGCUAGU
RNAcentral lists this ribosomal RNA (601 nucleotides) under uncultured bacterium. Its description in RNAcentral is "bacterial SSU rRNA". It matches the Rfam family "Bacterial small subunit ribosomal RNA", at positions 734 to 1339 of the family's 1533-position model. The record is from RNAcentral.